CUCCGGCUGGCUGGCUGGUUGGUACACCCAAUACUCUUGCCGAGCGCACGGCCGCGUGUCAGUUUGCGUCCCACCGUCGUCACGGGCUUUACAGCAGACCUUUUGCGCCGAGCGCACACCUCUUUUUUUUUUUUUUUUAUACAUAUAUACACAUAUUUCAAGUAUAUCAUACGCGUACAGGUCGACUGGCGUAUGUAGCCCGCGGGAUCGGUAUCGUUCGGUAUUGUGUAGUGUCGUCGUUCGUGGAGCGUGGUAUUUUUGGUUAUUUUUUCGGUUUCGAGUAACAUAUGUGUACCGAUCUUCGGGAAAUCGGCAGCCGAUCGGUCGAUUUGCGCGUCCCGGGAUCCCUGUUUUUGCGAGUGAGUGAGUUUUAUGCAUAUCUGUGCUGUGUUGGACGACGAUUUGCAAGGCCAUACGUUACGUGGAACGUGUAAAACGCUGCCACUGCUGGGUGCAAGUGCCUAUUGUACAGGCAUAUAUACGUACCAUUGGCCCUGGUGCUGGUGAUCCUUAGUGCGCAAUUCGUGGGCUGGCGAGUUGGUAUGCUUUCAUAGGUGUACCGUCGCACGGAUACAAAGCGCCGUACACGUAUAUGUGUAACGUGUAAUCUUUCACUCGGGAAAACGCCGAUGGCCAGUUGGCUGCACCACCACUGACACCCGAGCCUCGUCCCUUUUCCUCCUUCGGGAGUAAAGAACCCAUAAAAGAAUCACGCGCUGGAAACGCGUUGGAGCGAAGCCCUCGCCGACACUGCCGCUGAGCUGUGAAAAUGUGCGUUAGGUGAACAAAAAGAAAAAAAAGAAAAAAGAAUCGGGGACCUUGGAAAAAAAGGAGAGGACAAACAAUCCGACCUGCACCCAUGCGUUGAAACGCAAAAAGAGGCAUAGAGAGCGGGAAGAAAAAGGUCUCGUCAAGAGGGAGAGGGAAAAAGAGGAUAAGGAAAAAAAAAAAGAGGGGAAAAAAAAAUGCGCAACGGCGCUCAGUCCCAGCAAACGGCGGUGAUGAGCCCGACGCACUUGAAUGGCUCGGCGCAGUUUCCGGGUGGCGCCUACUACCCCCAGUCCCGGCACUCUUGGGGCCAGUUUCCGGUGACGCACCGCAAUGCCGGCGUGAACGUAGUGCCCGGCGGUGGUGGUAGGCCCCUGUCCCAUCCGCCGCCACCGCCACCACCACCCUCUCGGCGCGAGAUACAGAGAGCCGCGGCGAUACAGCAGCAGAUGAAGCAGCCGGCGUCCCAGCAGCAGCACAACAGGCCCACGUUGCUCCAACAGGCCAGGUGUGCCACGCCCUCGAAGGUGGACCCCGAGCUGAUAUUCACGAAACAGGAGAGGAUCGGCAAAGGUAGCUUCGGCGAGGUGUUCAAGGGCAUCGACAACCGCAGCCAACAGGUCGUCGCCAUAAAGAUCAUCGACCUCGAGGAAGCCGAGGAUGAGAUCGAGGACAUACAACAGGAGAUCAUGGUCCUGUCGCAGUGCGACAGUCCCUUCGUCACCAAGUACUAUGGAUCCUACCUCAAGGGCACAAAGUUGUGGAUCAUUAUGGAAUAUCUGGGCGGCGGCUCGGCACUGGACCUCAUGAAGGCCGGGAGUUUCGAGGAGAUGCACAUAGCGGUCAUCCUCAGGGAGGUACUCAAAGGCCUCGACUAUCUUCACAGCGAGCGUAAGCUGCAUCGCGAUAUUAAAGCGGCGAACGUUCUGCUAAGUGAGAUGGGCGACGUAAAGCUGGCGGAUUUCGGAGUCGCGGGCCAGCUGACGAAUACCACCAGUAAGCGCAACACUUUCGUCGGCACGCCUUUUUGGAUGGCACCGGAGGUUAUCAAACAGUCCGCCUACGAUUCCAAGGCGGACAUCUGGUCACUGGGUAUAACGGCGAUCGAGCUCGCCAAAGGCGAGCCGCCCAACAGCGACUUGCACCCCAUGAGGGUGUUGUUCCUCAUACCGAAGAACAACCCGCCCCAGCUGACCGGCAACUACACCAAGCAGUUCAAGGAGUUUGUCGAGGCUUGUCUAAACAAGGACCCCGAGAACAGGCCGACGGCAAAGGAGCUGCUAAAGUUCCAAUUCAUCCGCAAGGCGAAAAAGAACUCGUACCUGAUUGACCUGAUCGACAGAUACAAGAAGUGGAAGUCGCAGCGCAGCGAGGAAUCCGAGACGGAGAGUGAGAAUUCAGACUCGGAAGAGUCCAAGCAGGACAGCGACAUGGACGAGCCGUGGAUAAUGACAGUUAAAGGACCGCACGGGCUGAAGGGACCCUCGAUGUUGCCCGUGGCGUUGCGCGAAGAUCCAAUGCCACAGCAGCAACAACAAUCUCGUACGUCAUCGAACGCUAAUCAUACGCCAAACCACAGGCCCCAGCAGCGGGAACAGGAGCCGAGCAAGCCGCACGCGAACGGUGCCUCCAGGUCCCCGCCCAAGGAGUCCAAUGUCAAUCACUACAAGAACGACUCCAGGGACAUUUCCAUACAGAACAAGCACACCCCGUCUCGGACGCACGAGGGAACGCCAAAGGUGUCGUCGGUGGUGGACAACAGCGGUCGCGACUAUCACGACUCGUCGAGCCGAGAAUCGACGUUGCGGAGCUCCAACAAGGACAGGGACAAUGUGCUGCGUCGCCGCGAACGCGACAACGAGGAAAACAGCAGCAACGCCGUGAGCAACAGCCGAGAACAGCGCGAGCGGAAAACCAAGUCCGAGGUGCUCGUGGAGCAUCGCAACGAGGAAAAACCACAGCUAAGGGAUCACCACCACCACCAACAGCAGCUACAGAGACCGAGGAGCUCGCAGGAACUCAAACAUCCGCGUAGUCCCAUCGUCAACGGCGUCAUUUUUCCACUACUGUCUGAUUUGCAGCGUAGAUACCAGUACGCUGCGAGGGACAAUGGCGACGCCAGCAAUUCCAGUAGACAUGUCGGUGCGCUGGACGAGCUGAGAGGUGCCUUCGAAGUCGCGGAGAGAACGUCGCCAGGGAUGAGCGAGAGUUUCGUCAAGGAGAUAUUCAAAGCGCUGCUCCCGACCAAUCAUUCAGACGCUCGGCUUUCCAUGCUGAUGGAAAAGGUCGUUUUAAAGGAUACGUAGGGACGUGAGAGGGCGAGGAUUCGCAGAAAACUGUUGUCGGAUAAUCCGUUGACCCUUUAAGAAGUGGCGAGUCGCGCAGAACCAGCUCCACACCCGGAAGAUCCUGAUGCAGCGCGAUCAUCUGACCACUAUACCUUCCGGAUGUCGGACGUCACGCCUGAUCUGCCCAGGAUCGCGUGCGUUGCGCCUGCAACUAGGUUUUCGUUCAUCUCUCUCUCUCUUUUUUUUUUUUUUUUUAGUUUUCGCUUCUUCCGUUGCAUCUGUUAAGAGUAAUCGUAAAAAGUGAUAAGAGCUAAGUUGUUAAGGGAAUUUGAUGAAUGCUUUCCAGCUGCGUCACGACGUUUUUCUUUUGUUUUGGAGAACAUUUCUUUAAAUCUCUUUUUUUUUUUUUCCUUUUUUCAAUGAUUAGGUAUAGUUGUUGAAAGUUCGUACGAUUGGACGUUCCAACGAGAUAGAGGGUCAGUAAAUUUGUUGACUUGUUCUUGCCUCAUUGCAGAAUUGUAUCCGGAAUUCGCGUUAGUGUAUGUCGCGUAGUCGCCUCGGACGAUACAUUUUUUUUUCUACAUAGAGGGUACACGCGUUUGUGAUUAUUUUAGAUGAAUUAUGAAAAGUAAUUAUUGAUUUGCGUUUUGAUUAAAGUAUUAUUGUUGCAGUGCCAAAUGUUUUAGAUUCUCUGAUUAAAUGUUAAUACAGAAUGUAACGUUUUAAAAAAUAUUUAAAAAAUUAAAACCUUAAGUACAAAAUAUUAAAGAAAAAAAAAAGAAAAAGAAAAAAAAGAACAUUAUAAAAUAUAGCUAUUAUGAGACAAGUAGUCCAUAGAUAAUACUGACAAAAAAUAAAUGAAGAUAAAUUUUUAGAUAUUAAUGAGAAAGUGUAUUAGCGUGCGUAACGUGCUUUUUAAGACAAACAAAUAAACAAAAAGUAGACAUUGAUUCCAAAAAGUUUAACCUAUUUUUCCACUCGCGUAGCAUUUAGACACCUGAUUAUUUUUCAUAAUUCAUGAAUGUAAAAUAAAGAUGAUGUUAAAGACUGCCUCAGAUCUUUCCUUUCGCUCUUCGUGUAGCUGAACGACGAAGUGUCUCAGACUCUCGUGCGAUUUUUAGUAAAAGUAAACGAUAGCUUCUGCAGAUAAUAGUAAUAACAAUAAAAAUAACCUAACGUUUUGAGAAAAUAAUAGCGAACAUAACUCGGAGCAAUGUUAGUGGCAUGCUUUGUUAAUUUUUAAUAUAAAUAUUAAAGCAAAAUAGACGAAUUGAUCAAGCAAGCGAAAUAAUGCGCAUUCUGGAUUCCGUUAAAGAAAGACAAUGAAAUCAGAAGUAGGGAAAAAAAAAAAAAAAAAAAAAAAAAGAAGAAGAAACUUUGGCCUCGUUACUAGAGGCUUUGUAAAUAUGUAUUUAGGACGUUAAAAAAUAUAGAAAUAUCUUGUUCUAACUGUCGACGUGCCUGCUGAAUCGUCCUGAUAAUCGUCCGCAUUGUAAAAGGUGAAGAAUGUAAGAAAGAGAAAUAGAGUGUUAACAGGACGUAUACUCAAAAUAGUCAAGGGAGCAAAGUGAUUUAAUUUUUGCAAUUCACAAAGUUAUAGAAAUAAACCUUAAGCCAACUGUUGUUAAUUGUAAACGUGAAACAUGAACUACAAGCAGAACAUAUUUUACAAUCCAACAUCAUUGGGUUUUAGUUUGUAAGGAUUCGAGCCUUCAUUUCUAUUGGAUUGUGCAUGUCAUUUUACUGUAAUGGUAUUUUUCAAAAUCAUUUGAUUCUUUUCGAAUGGCUUUAAAAUAAAGUAUGUAAUAAAAGACAAUACAAAGUUAAAACAAAAACAAACCAUGCCAUUUGCUGGAGUACAUUAUUUUUCGCGUAUCACGCAAGUUCCCACGUGUAUUAAAACGUUGUGCAGGUCGUCGAUGUUUAAAAAAAAAAAA
RNAcentral lists this unclassified non-coding RNA (4993 nucleotides) under Copidosoma floridanum. Its description in RNAcentral is "serine/threonine-protein kinase 26, transcript variant X1". Lineage: Eukaryota; Metazoa; Arthropoda; Insecta; Hymenoptera; Encyrtidae. The record is from RNAcentral.